Molecule: ribosomal RNA, 306 nt
Filed under: Escherichia coli
Lineage: Bacteria; Pseudomonadati; Pseudomonadota; Gammaproteobacteria; Enterobacterales; Enterobacteriaceae
Description: partial 23S ribosomal RNA
Rfam family: Bacterial large subunit ribosomal RNA
Source: RNAcentral
CUGCCGUGGGCGCUGGAGAACUGAGGGGGGCUGCUCCUAGUACGAGAGGACCGGAGUGGACGCAUCACUGGUGUUCGGGUUGUCAUGCCAAUGGCACUGCCCGGUAGCUAAAUGCGGAAGAGAUAAGUGCUGAAAGCAUCUAAGCACGAAACUUGCCCCGAGAUGAGUUCUCCCUGACUCCUUGAGAGUCCUGAAGGAACGUUGAAGACGACGACGUUGAUAGGCCGGGUGUGUAAGCGCAGCGAUGCGUUGAGCUAACCGGUACUAAUGAACCGUGAGGCUUAACCUUACAACGCCGAAGCUGUU